RNAcentral lists this ribosomal RNA (536 nucleotides) under Clostridia bacterium HGFM97. Its description in RNAcentral is "bacterial SSU rRNA". It matches the Rfam family "Bacterial small subunit ribosomal RNA", at positions 173 to 711 of the family's 1533-position model. Lineage: Bacteria; Bacillati; Bacillota; Clostridia. The record is from RNAcentral.
AUGGAUGGAAGGUGGCCUCUAUUUAUGAGCUAUCGCUGAAUGAGGGGAUUGCGGCUGAUUAGCUACUUGGAGGGGAAACGGCCCACCCAGGCUAUGAUCAGUAACCGGUCUGAUAGGAUGAACAGCCACAUUGGAACUGAAACACAGGCCACACUCCUACAUGAUGCAGCAUGGGGGAAUCUUCCACAAUGGACCAAAGUCUGACGGAACACCGCCUCGUGAGUGAUGACCUCCUUCGGGUUGUAAAACUCUGUUAAUCAGAACAACAGGUCCUCUUGCCAAUACCUAAAAGAAUUGACUGUACCGGAAUAAAAAGCCACGGCUAACUACAUGCCAGCAGCCGCAUCAAUACUUAUGUGGCAAACGUUGUCCGGAAUUAUUGUGCGUAAAGCGCGCGCAGGCUGAUCAGUUAAUCUGUCUUAAAACAUCUAGGCUUAACCCCUUGAUGAUAUGAAAACUGCUGAUCUAUACUAUCGUAGAGGAAAGUGGAAUUCCUAUUGUAACGAUGAAAUGCGUAGAUAUUAGGAAGAUCACCA